GACAGAGGCCUCGAGCGUUAGGCGGAAUCACUGGGCUUAAAGCGUGUGUAGGCGGGCCCGUAAGUGUCUUGUGAAAUCCCCCGGCUCAACUGGGGAACUGCACGGGAAACAGCCGGGCUUGAGUUCGGGAGAGGGAAGCGGAAUUCCGGGUGUAGCGGUGAAAUGCGUAGAUAUCCGGAGGAACACCGGUGGCGAAGGCGGCUUCCUGGACCGAUACUGACGCUGAGGCGCGAAAGCUAGGGGAGCAAACGGG
RNAcentral lists this ribosomal RNA (253 nucleotides) under uncultured bacterium. RNAcentral describes it as "partial 16S ribosomal RNA". It matches the Rfam family "Bacterial small subunit ribosomal RNA", at positions 524 to 776 of the family's 1533-position model. The record is from RNAcentral.